GAUGAACGCUGGCGGCGUGCUUAACACAUGCAAGUCGAACGGAAAGGCUCCUGCUUGCAGGGGUACUCGAGUGGCGAACGGGUGAGUAACACGUGGGUGAUCUGCCCUGCACUUCGGGAUAAGCCUGGGAAACUGGGUCUAAUACCGGAUAGGACGAUGGUUUGGAUGCCAUUGUGGAAAGUUGUUCGGUGUGGGAUGAGCUCGCGGCCUAUCAGCUUGUUGGUGGGGUAAUGGCCUACCAAGGCGUCGACGUGUAGCCGGCCUGAGAGGGUGUACGGCCACAUUGGGACUGAGAUACGGCCCAGACUCAUAAGGGAGGCAGCAAUGGGGAAUAUUGCACAAUGGGCGCAAGCCUGAUGCAGCGACGCCGCGUGGGGGAUGACGGCCUUCGGGUUGUAGACUCCUUUCGCUAGGGACGAAGCGCAAGUGACGGUACCUGGAGAAGAAGCACCGGCUAACUACGUG
Molecule: ribosomal RNA, 465 nt
Filed under: uncultured bacterium
Lineage: Bacteria
Description: partial 16S ribosomal RNA
Rfam family: Bacterial small subunit ribosomal RNA
Source: RNAcentral